This 434-nucleotide ribosomal RNA is filed under the name Anaplasma bovis. RNAcentral's name for it is "bacterial SSU rRNA". It matches the Rfam family "Bacterial small subunit ribosomal RNA", at positions 12 to 456 of the family's 1533-position model. The record is from RNAcentral. Lineage: Bacteria; Pseudomonadati; Pseudomonadota; Alphaproteobacteria; Rickettsiales; Anaplasmataceae.
UUUGAUCCUGGCUCAGAACGAACGCUGGCGGCAAGCUUAACACAUGCAAGUCGAACGGAUUAUUCUUGUAGCUUGCUAUGAGAAUAAUUAGUGGCAGACGGGUGAGUAAUGCAUAGGAAUCUACCUAGUAGUAUAGGAUAGCCACUAGAAAUGGUGGGUAAUACUGUAUAAUCCCUGCGGGGGAAAGAUUUAUCGCUACAUGAUGAGCCUAUGUUAGAUUAGCUAGUUGGUGGGGUAAUGGCCUACCAAGGCAGUGAUCUAUAGCUGGUCUGAGAGGAUGAUCAGCCACACUGGAACUGAGACACGGUCCAGACUCCUACGGGAGGCAGCAGUGGGGAAUAUUGGACAAUGGGCGCAAGCCUGAUCCAGCUAUGCCGCGUGAGUGAGGAAGGCCUUAGGGUUGUAAAACUCUUUCAGUGGGGAAGAUAAUGACG